AUCAGGCACACUUACACCAAGCCCAUGACACCUUGCUUAGCCACACCCUCAAGGGACCUCAGCAGUGAUAAACAUUAAGCCAUAAGUGAAAACUUGACUUAGUUAAAGCUAAGAGGGCCGGUAAAACUCGUGCCAGCCACCGCGGUUAUACGAGAGACCCAAGUUGAUAAACACCGGCGUAAAGCGUGGUUAUAUUAAUAUUUACACUAAAGCCAAACAUCUUCAAAGCUGUUAUACGCAACCGAAGACAGGAAGUUCACCCACGAAAGUGGCUUUAUUAGACCCGAACCCACGAAAGCUAAGGAACAAACGAGGAUUAGAUACCCCCCUAUGCCUAGCCCUAAACAUUGGUAGUACUAUACACCCACUACCCGCCAGGGUACUACGAGCAACAGCUUAAAACCCAAAGGACUUGGCGGUGCUUUAGACCCACCUAGAGGAGCCUGUUCUAGAACCGAUAACCCCCGUUCAACCUCACCCCUCCUUGUUUUACCC
This 495-nucleotide ribosomal RNA is filed under the name Ocynectes maschalis. RNAcentral describes it as "partial 12S rRNA". It matches the Rfam family "Bacterial small subunit ribosomal RNA", at positions 297 to 991 of the family's 1533-position model. The record is from RNAcentral. Lineage: Eukaryota; Metazoa; Chordata; Actinopteri; Perciformes; Cottidae.